GAAGUCCUACGGGAGGCAGCAGUGGGGAAUAUUGCACAAUGGGGGAAACCCUGAUGCAGCGACGCCGCGUGAGUGAAGAAGUAUUUCGGUAUGUAAAGCUCUAUCAGCAGGGAAGAAAAAAGACGGUACCUGACUAAGAAGCCCCGGCUAACUACGUGCCAGCAGCCGCGGUAAUACGUAGGGGGCAAGCGUUAUCCGGAUUUACUGGGUGUAAAGGGAGCGUAGACGGCUGUGCAAGUCUGAAGUGAAAGCCCAGGACUCAACCCUGGUACUGCUUUGGAAACUGU
RNAcentral lists this ribosomal RNA (287 nucleotides) under uncultured bacterium. RNAcentral's name for it is "partial 16S ribosomal RNA". It matches the Rfam family "Bacterial small subunit ribosomal RNA", at positions 333 to 636 of the family's 1533-position model. The record is from RNAcentral.